GGGCCCUGCAAAUCCUGAAGGAUAUAUUCCAUGAUGGAUUGAAUCAUGCAAAGAGAUGGACGGUGCCAAUUUACACGGGUUAAUCCUCUACAGCAACUAUAAAUAGAGACUCAAGAACUUCUGCAUCUAUCCUUCCAUUGGAGGACAGGUUAAGAGAGUUUGAGAGAGGAAGGUUGGUCAAGAUAAAGAGAGUUGUUUGGUAGCCAAGGAUGACUUGCCUACAGCCUCCUUAAGGUUUCAAAAUACCGAGCUUGUCUACCUUUGAUCAAAUGAUUCAAGAACCAAAAGAAAAGAAAGGCCAUGGCAGCCAUCCAUCAGAGUCAACAUGAGAAUCAUGUUCUAUAGAAAUUGGAGUCAUUCUUGAGAAUGAACACGACACUAUUAGCUUGGAAUCUAUAAUGUUGUUUAUGGCAAGUCUCCUUGGCACCUGAUGGCCUCUUAUCACUCAUGUGGAGCCUACUCUUCCUCCUUCUGUAGCCAGGACAAGGGUUCGAGAUCAACUCCCAAAAGAGAUGCACAACAGAGGUAUGCGAGCUUGCCUAAAUGAGGCUACGAGUAAGGAUAACUAUGAGGCAAUGACUACAAUCACUUUAAGCAGAAGAAAUAAUGAAGAAAUAAGCAUACAAUUCUACACUUUAUCCGAAGUGAAUGAAACAUGAUAUAGAAGAGGAUAAGCUAUAUUUCAAAAAGGAUACAGCUCUCCAAAAGAAAAAGUUGUCUCCAGCUUGAUUCUCCGUUCGACUGGAUCUUACAGAGAAUGUCUAUGGGCCUGUUUUUUGGAGCCAAACUACAUAUCAGGCCUUUUCUUCAUCAAGAAUUUAAAGACGUAGUAACCCUCAGCAUUCAGCAAUCAGCAAUCAGCAGAAACAGAUAUCCAGUUUUCUCAUAAAAAGAAAGGAUCAGCUCCUUCAGAAGGGAUACAGCUACCCAAAAGCAACAGGAUGAAAUUUGGGAAUUUUGAUCAUUUAUCUUCUUAUGAGGUACCCAACAAGUAACUAAUAGGCAAUUGCUAUUAGAGAAUUAUAUGCAGAGCCAGCUCCCGAGUAGUUUCAACUUCAAUACCUCUUGAUUCUCCAGCAGAUUAGAUUUAUAUAGAGAACAUUGAUGGGCAUGUAUUGUCAACUGAAACCACAUACCAACCCUUUUCUUUGCAACUACUCGAUGACAAUUAAGUUUUCAAGGUCUCCCUAAAUGCGGCAGGUGCAAGAUGAUGAUGGCAUUUUCAAAUAAUGAUGAAACAGAAACUCUCAGGUAGCUUCAUCUUCACUAACAAUGACUUCAUCACAGUUGGGAAACAUGAUUUCAUAUUGGGUUACCAACUUUCCCACUAAUGACAGUAAUUUAUCAUACCUAAUAAUAGGGCACUAAUCUUAAAUAUAGUUGCUUAUUUUGGGAUUUCUGGACCCUUUUUUCCUUUAACAUACACGACAUUUUGGGAAGAGCACAGGAUCUUUCCUGAAGUGGUUAACUCUA
Molecule: long non-coding RNA, 1473 nt
Organism: Vitis riparia (riverbank grape)
Lineage: Eukaryota; Viridiplantae; Streptophyta; Magnoliopsida; Vitales; Vitaceae
Exons: 3
Source: RefSeq, a predicted model, not a curated record